RNAcentral lists this long non-coding RNA (723 nucleotides) under Struthio camelus australis. Its description in RNAcentral is "lncRNA (ENSSCUG00000000719.1)". The record is from RNAcentral. Lineage: Eukaryota; Metazoa; Chordata; Aves; Struthioniformes; Struthionidae.
AAGAAGUAGUGUGUUCAGCCAGUGCAGUCAUCUGUAGAGAAUGACCUAGCUUCCCUGAAAUUUGGCAACUUGCCGUCUCUGACAUGUUGAUCUAGACCAAAGAUGGGGCAUUUUCUUUUUCAUAUUCUCCUUCCAUCCCUUUGGAAUUUGAUAAAGGGAGCCUGAGAACCUACCACAGCACCGGAGAUAAGCUUAGAUGUUGCCAGGAGCAGGAGGGGUGCAUACCUACUGUACAGGACUACCAGAAUGCUAAACGAUCAGGAGGGAAAGAGUGUGAAAUUCAUGAUGAGAAAUGCAUAUACACUGUUUACAGGCUAUUUAGAUUGGGAAGACUGAGGAUCUGUGAAUCUGGAAGGAAGAGCUGAUGCUGACAAGAGGAGUUUACAAAAAGGAGUGGCCUUGGAAAGAAGGUGAAGAUAUCAACUGGAGAAAAGAUCCUGGAAAUCAGGGAGAUAUGUGCAGAAAGACGCAGAGUGAAGCCCAGCGACCCUAGCCGAUGAUGCCUGAGACAGGUCACUGGGAGCGGUGGCAUGGCAGGAGCUGACCUAAUUUUCUGUAGGCAUUCCCAAGCCAACAGUAACCUCCCUGGGAGGAAGGGAGGUCAAGACCUAGUAAAUGUAGUGCUAGGGCUGGGGAGAGUGAGUGAGUGUGAGGGUAUGAGAUAAUCAAGUAGGUUAAAAGUAUUAAUCUUCCUUCUUAAAUAAACCCUAGUACCCGGAUCCA